Non-coding RNA from Drosophila melanogaster (fruit fly), 95 nucleotides. NCBI's taxonomy places the organism in Eukaryota, Metazoa, Arthropoda, Insecta, Diptera, Drosophilidae. The record is from Ensembl.
UACAUGUGAGGAUGUCACAAAUACACUGAAUUUGGGGGGAAUUCUUAUGUAUAUACAAAUUCUUCCCGAACUCAGGCUAAUUUUGUGGCAUCCGU